GAGGGUGUAGCUCAGUGGUAGAGCCCAUGCCUAGCAUGCACAAAGUCCGGGGUUCAACUCCCUGUACCUCCA
RNAcentral lists this transfer RNA (72 nucleotides) under Camelus bactrianus (Bactrian camel). It matches the Rfam family "tRNA". Rfam says of the family: Transfer RNA (tRNA) molecules are approximately 80 nucleotides in length. Their secondary structure includes four short double-helical elements and three loops (D, anti-codon, and T loops). The record is from Rfam by way of RNAcentral. RNAcentral also lists the same sequence under 2 other names. Lineage: Eukaryota; Metazoa; Chordata; Mammalia; Artiodactyla; Camelidae.